UGUUUCUGCUUCAAAUUGGUUAACCUGGCAUUCAGAGAACACCAGAACUCAUAGUACCUUCUGUUCUGCCCAGUUCAUAAAGAAAUCUCUGACACGGCACAUUCAAAUUCCUCUGCCUGUUCUUAACUUUCUGAUCACAAAAAUUUUCUUUCCCCACUUUUACAUCUAUUUGCAGUCUUGCCAAUGUAAGUACAUGGGUAAUGUGGUAAGGAGAUCAAUAAACAAAGAUGGAUCCAAGUGCCCUGAAUCUCAUCACUCAUUUAAAAUACUAAUUUUUCUUCCUCAGCUAUGAAGAAGCCAUCACCACCACACUCAGACAACUUAGAUACAUAUUCCUAGACUUCCUCAGUUCCCUUCCGACAGGGGUUUGAGACAUGUCUCCCCUCAGUGAACUCCAGACUGCUGGAACCCUUCAGAGAACAACAGGGGUUCUGUCACAAAGCAGCACCACAUUGAGCAAUUAUCUGCACUGAUUGCAUCCAUGUCACCUGAAGAAGCAAUUCCUUUGCUAACAGGGUAACUGCUCUCAUCAGACAUGGUUUCAAAUCAGGGCAGCUAAGGACUCCUUCCCUCUCUUGUGCAGCAGUACCCUUGCCGUGUGAGUGACCAGGAAUGUGACAGUGUUGGGAAAGGAGAGAGCACAAGGAAUGACAGCAGAGCCCUCCAGAUUCUGGAUACCCUGUCCUUGAUGAACCUAUAUGUCUUCACUGAUACUUUUAAAUAAAUAAAACUCACAGGAAAUCA
Molecule: non-coding RNA, 744 nt
Organism: Taeniopygia guttata (zebra finch)
Lineage: Eukaryota; Metazoa; Chordata; Aves; Passeriformes; Estrildidae
Source: RefSeq, a predicted model, not a curated record